Molecule: ribosomal RNA, 492 nt
Filed under: uncultured bacterium
Lineage: Bacteria
Description: partial 16S ribosomal RNA
Rfam family: Bacterial small subunit ribosomal RNA
Source: RNAcentral
AGUGAACGCUGGCGGUAGGCCUAACACAUGCAAGUCGAACGGCAGCACAGUAAGAGCUUGCUCUUACGGGUGGCGAGUGGCGGACGUGUGAGGAAUACAUCGUAAUCUACUUUUUCGUGGGGGAUAACGUAGGGAAACUUACGCUAAUACCGCAUACGACCUACGGGUGAAAGCAGGGGAUCUUCGGACCUUUCGCGAUUGAAUGAGCCGAUGUCGGAUUAGCUAGUUGGCGGGGUAAAGGCCCACCAAGUCGACGAUCCGUAGCUGGUCUGAGAGGAUGAUAAGCCACCUUGGAACGGAGACACGGUCAAGACUCCUACGGGAGGCAGCAGUGGGGAAUAUUGGACAAUGGGCGCAAGCCUGAUCCAGCCAUACCGAGUGGGUGAAGAAGGCCUUCGGGUUGUAAAGACCUUUUGUUGGGAAAGAACAGCAGCAGGUUAAUACCCCGCUGUUCUGACGGUAACCAAAGAAUAAGCACCGGCUAACUUCGUG